CAGUCGCCACGGGAAUACGAAGGGUGCAAGCGUUACUCGGAAUUACUGGGCGUAAAGCGUGCGUAGGUGGUGGUUUAAGUCCGUUGUGAAAGCCCUGGGCUCAACCUGGGAAUUGCAGUGGAUACUGGGUCACUAGAGUGUGGUAGAGGAUAGUGGAAUUUCCGGUGUAGCAGUGAAAUGCGUAGAGAUCGGAAGGAACAUCUGUGGCGAAGGCGACUAUCUGGGCCAACACUGACACUGAGGCACGAAAGCGUGGGGAGCAAACAGGAUUAGAGACCCCUGUAGUCCCUGUCUCUUAUAC
This 301-nucleotide ribosomal RNA is filed under the name uncultured bacterium. RNAcentral describes it as "partial 16S ribosomal RNA". It matches the Rfam family "Bacterial small subunit ribosomal RNA", at positions 509 to 807 of the family's 1533-position model. The record is from RNAcentral.